GACAGAGGGGGCAAGCGUUGCUCGGAAUUACUGGGCGUAAAGGGCGCGUAGGCGGGAUGGCAAGUCGGUCGUGAAAUCCCUCGGCUCAACCGAGGAACGUCGAUCGAUACUGCUGUUCUUGAGGAUUGCAGAGGAGACUGGAAUUCCUGGUGUAGCGGUGAAAUGCGCAGAUAUCAGGAGGAACACCGAUGGCGAAGGCAGGUCUCUGGGCAUUAACUGACGCUGAGGAGCGAAAGCAUGGGGAGCGAACAGG
This 253-nucleotide ribosomal RNA is filed under the name uncultured bacterium. RNAcentral's name for it is "partial 16S ribosomal RNA". It matches the Rfam family "Bacterial small subunit ribosomal RNA", at positions 524 to 776 of the family's 1533-position model. The record is from RNAcentral.